GUGGGGAAUUUUGGACAAUGGGCGAAAGCCUGAUCCAGCCAUGCCGCGUGCAGGAUGAAGGCCUUCGGGUUGUAAACUGCUUUUGUACGGAACGAAAAGCCUCUUUCUAAUAAAGAGAGGUCAUGACGGUACCGUAAGAAUAAGCACCGGCUAACUACGUGCCAGCAGCCGCGGUAAUACGUAGGGUGCAAGCGUUAAUCGGAAUUACUGGGCGUAAAGCGUGCGCAGGCGGUUAUAUAAGACAGAUGUGAAAUCCCCGGGCUCAACCUGGGAACUGCAUUUGUGACUGUAUAGCUAGAGUACGGUAGAGGGGGAUGGAAUUCCGCGUGUAGCAGUGAAAUGCGUAGAUAUGCGGAGGAACACCGAUGGCGAAGGCAAUCCCCUGGACCUGUACUGACGCUCAUGCACGAAAGCGUGGGGAGCAAACAGGAUUAGAAACCCGUGUAGUCC
This 450-nucleotide ribosomal RNA is filed under the name uncultured bacterium. RNAcentral describes it as "partial 16S ribosomal RNA". It matches the Rfam family "Bacterial small subunit ribosomal RNA", at positions 354 to 796 of the family's 1533-position model. The record is from RNAcentral.